RNAcentral lists this long non-coding RNA (578 nucleotides) under Gopherus agassizii (Agassiz's desert tortoise). RNAcentral's name for it is "lncRNA (ENSGAGG00000003650.1)". The record is from RNAcentral. Lineage: Eukaryota; Metazoa; Chordata; Testudines; Testudinidae.
GCAGAUCCACUCAGGGAUCCNUCGGAGGUCUGUGUGGGGCCCCCUCUGAGCCCCCCAUCCCCUUACAGAUCCUUCGUGUGGAUGGCCAGCUACAACCAGGCUACGCAGGAGAUUGCGCGGCCCUCUGAGGUGCUGGCUGGCCUGCGCUCCUACCUUGCCUUCAUCCAGUCACUGGGGCANGUUCACGUGCGUGGACUCCAGCCGCAUCAUCCACAAUGUCCUGCUUCAGCAGACACAACCCCUGGACUCCAGCGGGGAGCAGACCCUCACCACCAUCUACACCAACUGGUACCUGGAGGUGCUGCUGCGCCAGGCCAGCACUGGGGCCAUUGUGCUGUCCCCAGCCAUGCAGGCCUUCAUCAGCGUCCCCAGGGAGGGGGAGCAGAGUUUCAGUGCAGAGGAGUUUUCAGACAUCUCAGAGAUGCGGGCGCUGGCCGAGCUGCUGGGUCCCUAUGGCAUGAAGUUCCUGAGCGACAACCUCAUGUGGCACGUCACCUCGCAGGUGGUGGAGCUGAAGGUAGGAGGCUGGGGCGGGAGAAGCCACUGCUGGCUGCACUCAGCUCCCCAGGGCUACGGGC